CUGGGUUAGUCGGGUCCUAAGCUGAGGCCGACAGGCGUAGGCGAUGGAUAACAGGUUGAUAUUCCUGUACCACCUAUAAUCGUUUUAAUCGAUGGGGGGACGCAGUAGGAUAGGCGAAGCGUGCGAUUGGAUUGCACGUCUAAGCAGUAAGGCUGAGUAUUAGGCAAAUCCGGUACUCGUUAAGGCUGAGCUGUGAUGGGGAGAAGACAUUGUGUCUUCGAGUCGUUGAUUUCACACUGCCGAGAAAAGCCUCUAGAUAGAAAAUAGGUGCCCGUACCGCAAACCGACACAGGUAGUCAAGAUGAGAAUUCUAAGGUGAGCGAGCGAACUCUCGUUAAGGAACUCGGCAAAAUGACCCCGUAACUUCGGGAGAAGGGGUGCUCUUUAGGGUUAACGCCCAGAAG
Molecule: ribosomal RNA, 404 nt
Filed under: Staphylococcus aureus
Lineage: Bacteria; Bacillati; Bacillota; Bacilli; Caryophanales; Staphylococcaceae
Description: partial 23S ribosomal RNA
Rfam family: Bacterial large subunit ribosomal RNA
Source: RNAcentral